UUUCAGACAAGGAAAGGCUUACAGUGGAUAUCUAGGUAUCUAGAAAUAACGAAGGGAAUAGUAAUCGAUGAAAUAUCUUCAGGGAUUUGGAAAAAUUGCAUGGAAACAGAGAUUUCUGAAUAGGUCAACAUUUUUAACUACUACUGAAUCCAUUUGUAGGAAAGAGAAAACCUAGCGAACUAAAACAUCUUAGUAGCCAUAAUAGAAGAAAACUAAAGAUAUUCCUAUAGUAGCUGAGAGCAAAAUGAGAGCAACCUAAACUAUGAAAAUGAUGUUGCGGAGAGCAAUACAAUCGUCGUACUGCUAAGGGAAGUAUCCUAAAUAUUGUGCCCUAAAUAGAAAAAGUCUAGUAGUCGAAAACAUCAAUAGCUUACUCUCUGACCAAGUAGCAGGUGGCAUGUGGAAUCCUAUGUGAAUUAGCAAGGACAACUUUGGAAGGCUAAAUACUUUAGGAGACUGAUAUAGAAGUAGUACCAUGAGGGAAGGGUGAAAAGAACCCCCAUCGUGGAAUGAAACAGAGCAUGAAACUGUAAUUUCCAAAGUAGUGGGAGAAGACAGGGCUCUGACCGCGUCCCUGUUGUAAAAUGAGUCGGUGAUUCAUAAGCACUAGCUUGGUUAACUGAACCCACCCAAAUAGUAUCGAAAACGAGUCUUCUUCGAGAAAUUGUCAUUGCUUAUGAACCAGAACCUGGUUAAUCUAUCAGUGACCAGGAUGAAGCUUGUACAAAACUAAGUUGAGUUCUGAACCGACUGAUUUUGAAGAUCAAUAGAUGAUUUGUGGCUAGUAGUGAAAUGCCACUGAAACCUAAAGCUAGCGGGUAAUCCCUAAAAUAUGUUGAGGUGCAGCAGUUAACUAGACAUCUAGUGGUAAAACAUAUUUUCGCUGCAAGAUAUGAACUCAAAAUAAUAGUGGUCAAGUGAUAUGAUGGGGUAUAAGUUCCAUCGUCGAGUGGGAAACGACCCGGAUCACCAUCUAAGGCCUCUAAGUGACCGCUCAUUGAUAAAGGAACUAGCGGUUCUAAGACAUUUAGGAGGUUUUCUUAAAGGUAUCCACCUUUAAAAGAGUUCAUAAUAGAUCACUGACCAACCGCUCUUGCAUAGAAGAUGAACGGGGCUAAGCAGUCUGCUGAAGCUGUAGGAUGUAAAAAAAAUCAAUACAGGAGCACUCCAACAUAGAAAGAAGCCUCUGCACGGGCGGUGGUGAAAAAAAUUGAAGGAAGAUUGUCUUAUUGGGUAACAUAAACAUUGGUGAAAAUCCAAUGUAAUGGCAAAAAUCUCAAGAAUAGAGGAGUUUCCAUGUAUGCUUAGUUAGGAUUGUAUCC
RNAcentral lists this non-coding RNA (1322 nucleotides) under Solanum lycopersicum (tomato). RNAcentral describes it as "Bacterial large subunit ribosomal RNA". It matches the Rfam family "Bacterial large subunit ribosomal RNA", at positions 1 to 1397 of the family's 2925-position model. Lineage: Eukaryota; Viridiplantae; Streptophyta; Magnoliopsida; Solanales; Solanaceae. The record is from Rfam by way of RNAcentral.